AGACUUUGAUCCUGGCUCAGAUUGAACGCUGGCGGCAGGCCUAACACAUGCAAGUCGAGCGGUAGCACAGAGAAGCUUGCUUCUUGGGUGACGAGCGGCGGACGGGUGAGUAACGCGUGGGAAUCUACCUGGUAGUGGGGGACAACAGUCGGAAACGACUGCUAAUACCGCAUACGCCCUUCGGGGGAAAGUGGGGGAUCUUCGGACCUCACGCUAUCAGAUGAGCCCGCGUCGGAUUAGCUUGUUGGUGAGGUAACGGCUCACCAAGCCUUCGAUCGGUAGCUGGUCUGAGAGGAUGAUCAGCCACACUGGGACUGAGACACGGCCCAGACUCCUACGGGAGGCAGCAGUGGGGAAUAUUGGACAAUGGGGGAAACCCUGAUCCAGCCAUGCCGCGUGAGUGAAGAAGGCCUUAGGGUUGUAAAGCUCUUUCGGUGGUGACGAUGAUGACGGUAGCCACAGAAGAAGCCCCGGCUAACUCCGUGCCAGCAGCCGCGGUAAUACCGGAGGGGGCAAGCGUUUGUUCGGAAUUACUGGGCCGUAAAGGGCCCC
Molecule: ribosomal RNA, 552 nt
Filed under: uncultured bacterium
Lineage: Bacteria
Description: bacterial SSU rRNA
Rfam family: Bacterial small subunit ribosomal RNA
Source: RNAcentral